AUACGGAGGGUGCAAGCGUUAAUCGGAAUUACUGGGCGUAAAGCGUACGUAGGCGGUUAUUUAAGUCAGAUGUGAAAGCCCCGGGCUUAACUUGGGAACUGCAUUUGAAACUGGGUAACUAGAGUUUAGUAGAGGGGAGUGGAAUUUCAGGUGUAGCGGUGAAAUGCGUAGAGAUCUGAAGGAACACCAGUGGCGAAGGCGACUCCCUGGACUAAAACUGACGCUGAGGUGCGAAAGCGUGGGUAGCAAACAGGAUUAGAAACCCCAGUAGUCC
RNAcentral lists this ribosomal RNA (274 nucleotides) under uncultured bacterium. RNAcentral describes it as "partial 16S ribosomal RNA". It matches the Rfam family "Bacterial small subunit ribosomal RNA", at positions 523 to 796 of the family's 1533-position model. The record is from RNAcentral.